Molecule: long non-coding RNA, 796 nt
Filed under: Parus major (Great Tit)
Lineage: Eukaryota; Metazoa; Chordata; Aves; Passeriformes; Paridae
Description: lncRNA (ENSPMJG00000001911.1)
Source: RNAcentral
GGGUCCCAGGGGGGUCCCCAGGCCGGGGGUCCGCUCUCACCGCGCAGCAGAGCCCUCACGAAGCGCCCGGCUCCCGGCACCGCCAGCCACCAACUCCCGGCAUCGCGCACGGUCAGGAGCCCCGCGGCCACCAGAGCCCUGCUGGGGCCACCAGAACCCGGCUGGGGCCACCAGAGCCCUGCCGGGGCCACCAAAACCCGGCUGUGGCCACCAAAACCCGGCUGUGGCCACCAAAACCCGGCUGUGGCCACCAAAACCCGGCUGGGGCCACCAAAACCCGGCUGGGGCCACCAAAACCCUGCUGUGGCCACCAAAACCCAGCCAUGGCCACCAGAACCCGGCUGUGGCCACCAGAACCCGGCUGGGGCCACCAAAACCCGGCUGUGGCCACCAGAGCCCUGCUGGGGCCACCAAAACCCUGCUGGGGCCACCAAAACACGGCUGUGGCCACCAAAGCCUGGCUGUGGCCAUCAGAACCUGGCUGUGGCUACCAGAACCCGGCUGUGGCCACCAGAACCCGGCUGUGGCCACCAGAACCCCCCAGAGCCACCCUGGGGGUCCCAAACCCCACCCUGGGCUGUCCCCAGGUCCCCCCAGGUGUCCCCAUGACCCCCAGGUGUCCCCAGGUGUGUUCCAGGUGUGUUUUUGGUGUCCCCAGGUGUCCCCCCAUGACCCCCAGCUGUCCCCAAAUGUCCCCAGGUGUCCCCAGGUGAGGUUUUGGUGUCCCCAGGUGUCCCCAGGUGAGGUUUGGGGUGUCCCCAGGUGUGUUCCAGCUGUGAUCCAGAACAUGUUCUAG